GCGCAAGCCCUUUACAUGCAGUGGAGCCGCCGUAUCUCGCCGUUCAAGAUAUGCGUACUCGUAAGUGGCAUUUUAAUUUCACGUUGUGUAAUGCAUGACUGUCUUUUUCAAGUGAACAAAGGUCGCUUUGUAUUGUGUAAAUGGUUUUGCAACGUAUGAUAAACUCCUUGUCUUUCGGGCUUAUUUUUUCUGACAGGAAAAAAAAAAAAAGAGGCUUUACAUUAGAACGGAUCAAGCGUUCGAGAGUUGGGACAGGGAAAUGAAACACUGGAACGACACUGCUUAAAUUGAAGCACAGUGUGCGAAUGACCUGCUACGCUCGGAACUGUUAUCACCAUUCGGGAAGAAAUUGGAUGAAAAAACAUAACUGUAAAUACCUGUAUGAUAUACGUCUGGUGCAUUGCAGGUAAGAAUGGAUUGUGUGUGGCGCGCUUCACCGCAUGUGGACUAGAGUAGAUCUAGGAACAUCAGACAAGAAGACACGUAUGUGAAACCCUGCGGAUAGCCCAUAUGUGAACUUUUUUUCCAGAUACGGAGGAACGGACACCGGUCGUGCCGUGAGCACUAUUCUGCAGGGCAUACUUACAAAUGAAGCUGCACUGCAGUUCAGCUGGAAAGGGUCGCAGGGGAGGAAGCACGCCUUCGUGAAGCUCAUGGCCAUCACGAAUAUAACAUCUGUGAGGAGCACGUUCCCUGACGCUUCACUAGCAUCAGUGGCUGGAGUCGCAAAACGCCGGUUGGUUGGAGCAGCUGACAGGGAUGGAGGCCGGAAUGAAAGAAGGCGCCGUGACCCUGCUUCAAGCCCACCAAAUAUGAACUAGUGUUUGAAACUUGUGAACGUGUCGGUGUACAUAU
This 855-nucleotide unclassified non-coding RNA is filed under the name Dermacentor andersoni. RNAcentral describes it as "uncharacterized LOC126545086". Lineage: Eukaryota; Metazoa; Arthropoda; Arachnida; Ixodida; Ixodidae. The record is from RNAcentral.